ACAUAGGCGGUGAACUACGUCAUUAGCCAGGCCCACUUUUGGGCAUGGCUAGGGGUGUUACUGAGGAAGGUAUAAAAGACUAAACAGCAGACGUCUCGCUACUCUUUCUGGCUUUCAGGCUUCCAGUUUGGCGAUGGAAAACUACUCAGCUCAUCUGGAUUACUUGUUUGUCUCUUCGUCAAUGAAGAUGUCAUUAAUACAGUUCUGGGAAGACAGAUACUGCCAACCUGCUGGAAUAUCCACAUGUAGGACUGAUCUCCGGACUGGGAGGCACUCAAAGGCAACAGGCUCAACCUGCAUUGGAGAUUGAGUCCAUCUGUCCUAUGGUGACCAGCGUAGUCUCCACAAGUUUGACAGCAGAAUCACAGGAAUGAAGUUGCAGUCAAAAAGAGUUGGUGUUUCUCAAGAAUCAACCACUCUCUUCAGUCCACUUAUAAAGUUUGGUCACAGCUGAAAAACCCUGGGCAACUUGCACAAAAUGGAAACAGACAUGCAGGAUCUCCUUCACAAACAACAAGACAGCCAUUUGUUUGGAGGAGCUCAUAUGGGAAUGCUCUUGCAGAGAUUCCUCUCCUGAGCUCCUAGAGGCCUAGCUGAGGUGGUUUUACUUGAUUUUGGUGUGUCUGGUAGUCCAAGUUUGUGUUUAUUCCUUUGGCGUGUGAGAACUAUAGAACUCCGUAAAUUAACCCCCCUGGAUGCCCCUUCCCUCAUAAAUAGUACAGAACAUUAA
This is a long non-coding RNA of Mesocricetus auratus (golden hamster), 730 nucleotides long. RefSeq lists it as uncharacterized. Lineage: Eukaryota; Metazoa; Chordata; Mammalia; Rodentia; Cricetidae. The record is from RefSeq and is a predicted model, not a curated record. The transcript is spliced from 4 exons.